RNAcentral lists this unclassified non-coding RNA (24 nucleotides) under Mus musculus (house mouse). RNAcentral describes it as "oocyte_clustered_small_RNA12957". Lineage: Eukaryota; Metazoa; Chordata; Mammalia; Rodentia; Muridae. The record is from RNAcentral.
UCCCUCAGGCACAGCAGGCGUGGA